GCUAAGGGGAGAAGUGCUGGUACAGU
This 26-nucleotide non-coding RNA is filed under the name Homo sapiens (human). Lineage: Eukaryota; Metazoa; Chordata; Mammalia; Primates; Hominidae. The record is from RNAcentral.